RNAcentral lists this transfer RNA (28 nucleotides) under Cynoscion nebulosus (spotted seatrout). Its description in RNAcentral is "partial tRNA-Leu". The record is from RNAcentral. Lineage: Eukaryota; Metazoa; Chordata; Actinopteri; Sciaenidae.
GCUCUAAAGGAUAACAGCCUCUCCUUAU